UGGGGAAUAUUGCACAAUGGGGGAAACCCUGAUGCAGCGACGCCGCGUGAGCGAAGAAGGUUUUCGAAUCGUAAAGCUUUGUCCUAUGGGAAGAUAAUGACGGUACCAUAGGAGGAAGCCCCGGCUAACUACGUGCCAGCAGCCGCGGUAAUACGUAGGGGGCAAGCGUUGUCCGGAAUCACUGGGCGUAAAGGGUUCGCAGGCGGAAAUGCAAGUCAGUUGUGAAAGGCAGGGGCUCAACCUCUGUAAGCAAUUGAAACUGUAUUUCUUGAGAUGUGGAGAGGGAAGUGGAAUUCCUAGUGUAGCGGUGAAAUGCGUAGAUAUUAGGAAGAAAACCGGUGGCGAAGGCGACUUGCUGGACACAAACUGACGCUGAGGAACGAAAGCGUGGGUAGCAAACAGG
Molecule: ribosomal RNA, 403 nt
Filed under: Fusobacteriota bacterium
Lineage: Bacteria; Fusobacteriati; Fusobacteriota
Description: Fusobacteria bacterium partial 16S ribosomal RNA
Rfam family: Bacterial small subunit ribosomal RNA
Source: RNAcentral